AUUAAGUUUCAUUGACUACUCUUUAAUAAAUUCAUAUAAUAUCUUCAUUGUCAGACGUUUAUAUUUACUUUUCAAUUUUAAAAACCACACUUUUUUUCUAUUCCGCAAACCUCUUUCUAGGAUUGACAACUUGUUUUUUCAAGUUUCAUAUUCAUUGCUAAGAGAUUCUAAUUCCCCGAGGAUAUAAAGUUUGACCUAUUAUAUUCCCCAUGGUUCAAAGUUGAUGCGAACACAUUUGCGCUAGUUACUGCAACCCACAAGCCAAACCUCUCUCAACCAUGGGCAAGGAAAGGACUACCGUCAACAUCACCCUCAUCGGACACAUUGCUUGAACUAAUUCAAACAUCAACAUGGACUUCCCGAUAAAAUGAUUAUGAUGACGGAUUGAUUCUCUACGAUUUGAUUUAUAAAAUGAGUACCAAAAAAAUACAUUCACAGAUUCACACAUGUAGCUACAUUCAAACACAAACACAUCAUCACUAAAAAUGUUUGGCAAUAAAGUUUCAGUUUUCUAAAUUCCAA
Molecule: long non-coding RNA, 522 nt
Organism: Nilaparvata lugens (brown planthopper)
Lineage: Eukaryota; Metazoa; Arthropoda; Insecta; Hemiptera; Delphacidae
Exons: 3
Source: RefSeq, a predicted model, not a curated record